UUGUCCUCAAGCAAAUAAACAUAGUCAAAUAAGCUUUCUCACUCUAGAUCCUUAUUUCCACUUAAGCUCUUACUCUAGACCCCUAUUUUGAAUCAUUGCAGUGAAGAAUAUAUGCAUGAAGAUUACUCACCUUCUUUCCUCGUUUCCCUCUGCUUACCAUGGCUAGGAUUUGUUUUCCUCAAGAGAGGCCAUACAUGCACAUUUAUUUGUUAAGACUUUUUCUAGCUUUUGGUGUGACUUGCCCUUACCUUGAAGUACUUGAUUCAGGCUUUUUGCACUUUAG
RNAcentral lists this long non-coding RNA (283 nucleotides) under Manihot esculenta (cassava). RNAcentral describes it as "long non-coding RNA (MESC_LNC012014)". Lineage: Eukaryota; Viridiplantae; Streptophyta; Magnoliopsida; Malpighiales; Euphorbiaceae. The record is from RNAcentral.